RNAcentral lists this ribosomal RNA (465 nucleotides) under uncultured bacterium. Its description in RNAcentral is "partial 16S ribosomal RNA". It matches the Rfam family "Bacterial small subunit ribosomal RNA", at positions 28 to 507 of the family's 1533-position model. The record is from RNAcentral.
GAUGAACGCUGGCGGCGUGCUUAACACAUGCAAGUCGAACGGAAAGGCGCAAGCUUGCUUGGGUACUCGAGUGGCGAACGGGUGAGUAACACGUGUGUGAUCCGCCCUUCACUUCGGGAUAAGCCUGGGGAACUGGGGCUAAUACCGGAGAGGACCACAUGUUGGACGGUGUGGUGGAAAGUUUUUCGGUGUGGGAUGAGCUCGCGGCCUAUCAGCUUGUUGGUGGGGUAAUGGGCUACCAAGGCGUCGACGGGUAGGCGGCCUGAGAGGGUGUACGGCCACCUUGGGACUGAGGUACGGCCCAGGCUCCUACGGGAGGCAGCAGGGGGGAAUAUUGCAGAAUGGGCGCAAGCCUGAUGCAGCGGCGCCGCGUGGGGGAAGACGGCCUUCGGGUUGUAAACUCCUUUCGCUAGGGACGAAGCGCAAGUGACGGUACCUGAACAAGAAGCACCGGCUAACUACGUG